Molecule: unclassified non-coding RNA, 425 nt
Filed under: soil metagenome
Description: partial contains 5.8S ribosomal RNA, internal transcribed spacer 2, and large subunit ribosomal RNA
Rfam family: 5.8S ribosomal RNA (bases 1-120)
Source: RNAcentral
GAUGAAGAACGUAGCGAAAUGCGAUAAGUAGUGUGAAUUGCAGAAUUCCGUGAAUCAUCGAAUCUUUGAACGCACAUUGCGCCUUCUGGUAUUCCGGAAGGCAUGCCUGUUCGAGAGUCAUUAACAACCGUUUCGAUCCCUUUCUUUCAGAAAUUACAAAGAGGAAAAGGGUUUGGUUAUGGUGGAGGAGGGAAAGGGAGCGUUUAGCCUGUAAAAAAAGAGGCUGUGUUCCGCCUCCCCCCCAAAAUUGUACAGGCGGUCGUGUGCGCCCACGCAUCGAGGUGUUGUAAAAGCUGCCACGGCACUUUUCACCUGUGCAGUGCGAGAUUGGCCAGCCGGUUUAAAAACCCCUCCAAACAAUCAAAGGUUGACUUCGGAUCAGGUAGGGAUACCCGCUGAACUUAAGCAUAUCAAUAAGCGGAGGA